AUUUUUUUGAUGCAUUUGGUUAGUACCUUCAGGAGAUAAGUAUAAAAAGCUGAGUGAAGUGGAUUUUGGCUUUGAGAGUACAUCACUAUACUCGACCACAGAGCAAUGAAAAAUACUCAACCAUGUUUUAGCUUAUCCACGCGAGGAGAUCACUCAACCGCGGUGCUGGCCGCAGCAAAAGAAGGGAGGUCGAGUAUCCUUAGAGCGGUGCUGGCCGCAGCAAAAGAAGGGAGGUCGAGUAUCCUUAGAGCGGUGCUGGCCACCACAGAGCUGAUGAGGUCGAGUAUCCACCUGCUGGAGCUUAUACAGAACAGGGCGGCUUGUCUAUGGCCUGGGAGCAAUCACAGCAGCCAUUGACGACCAACUCCAUUCAUUCUUCGACUGAGGUAAGCGCCUCACUUCACCAUUGUAUUAUAUCAUCUCUUGUGAUUUGUUCUUUAUUUUGUUUCGGUGAUUGGGUUUGUCCUGAGUACUCUCUUCCAAGUUUAUUCACACAGUGGACUGUGUGAUUUAAGUUUGGGGGAGGGCUCAGGAAGUGUGUGUUGCAUUGUAUUUACUCUUGAGUCUGCACUCAUUUAAGGCAUAGAAAAACCAAAAACAUUUGAAAAAUUUCAGAAAAUGAUUUCACAAAAACAGAGUGUUCAUGUAGUUGCAUUACAUUUAGGAUUGAGUCUAGAGUGUUUCAUUUAGGAUUGUUGCAUAUGCAUAGGGGAUAAUGAUGAGAUAGCCUUGUAAGCAUUUUGGUUCACCGGAUAAACUCAGUGCCCUCGUUUCUAGUUGUUUGUUGCGUAGUCAAUGAAAUUGAAGUAAAACUGAACCAUGCCUAGAUUGCUCUACUCGACCAUACUGUCAUGAUUUGAUACCAUUCCCUAUCAGUUUGAACCUGAAUCUGAUCCUUAAUUAUCAUGUCUGCAUCAAAUUUGAACUCAUGGAUACCCUAAAAUACUUGGAUUUUCUUAUUCAUUUUGAUCACUCUUGUUAAUCCAAGUAGCUGACUCUCCUUAUUAGAGCAGUUAACCCAAACCCAAACCUAGACUUUCUUUCAAGCCCUAUAUCACUCGUGAGUGUUUGUGAGGUCUUAUUCCGAUUAAGCUUGGUAGAAAGUGUUAGGUUUGUAACGACAGAGAUAGUGUCUCAUGUAGUUCUAGUUCGCAUUUUUCGGACUAGAUAGGACUAGGUGGGUGCUUAUACUUUGGGUUGGGAUGUGUUUAAAAGGAAAAAAAAA
Molecule: small RNA, 1225 nt
Filed under: Arabidopsis thaliana (thale cress)
Lineage: Eukaryota; Viridiplantae; Streptophyta; Magnoliopsida; Brassicales; Brassicaceae
Description: ATSL207560
Source: RNAcentral